This 301-nucleotide ribosomal RNA is filed under the name uncultured bacterium. RNAcentral describes it as "partial 16S ribosomal RNA". It matches the Rfam family "Bacterial small subunit ribosomal RNA", at positions 509 to 807 of the family's 1533-position model. The record is from RNAcentral.
CAGUAGCCACGGUAAUACGUAGGUGGCAAGCGUUGUCCGGAAUUAUUGGGCGUAAAGGGCUCGCAGGCGGUUUCUUAAGUCUGAUGUGAAAGCCCCCGGCUCAACCGGGGAGGGUCAUUGGAAACUGGGAAACUUGAGUGCAGAAGAGGAGAGUGGAGUUCCACGUGUAGCGGUGAAAUGCGUAGAGAUGUGGAGGAACACCAGUGGCGAAGGCGACUCUCUGGUCUGUAACUGACGCUGAGGAGCGAAAGCGUGGGGAGCGAACAGGAUUAGAUACCCGGGUAGUCCCUGUCUCUUAUAC